RNAcentral lists this ribosomal RNA (429 nucleotides) under Acidobacteriota bacterium. Its description in RNAcentral is "Acidobacteria bacterium partial 16S ribosomal RNA". It matches the Rfam family "Bacterial small subunit ribosomal RNA", at positions 355 to 776 of the family's 1533-position model. The record is from RNAcentral. Lineage: Bacteria; Pseudomonadati; Acidobacteriota.
UGGGGAAUUUUGGACAAUGGGGGAAACCCUGAUCCAGCCAUCCCGCGUGUGCGAUGAAGGCCUUCGGGUUGUAAAGCACUUUUGGCAGGAAAGAAACGUCAUGGGUUAAUACCCCGUGAAACUGACGGUACCUGCAGAAUAAGCACCGGCUAACUACGUGCCAGCAGCCGCGGUAAUACGUAGGGUGCAAGCGUUAAUCGGAAUUACUGGGCGUAAAGCGUGCGCAGGCGGUUCGGAAAGAAAGAUGUGAAAUCCCAGAGCUCAACUUUGGAACUGCAUUUUUAACUACCGGGCUAGAGGGUGUGAGAGGGAGGUGGAAUUCCGCGUGUAGCAGUGAAAUGCGUAGAUAUGCGGAGGAACACCGAUGGCGAAGGCAGCCUCCUGGGAUAACACUGACGCUCAUGCACGAAAGCGUGGGGAGCAAACAGG